This 253-nucleotide ribosomal RNA is filed under the name uncultured bacterium. Its description in RNAcentral is "partial 16S ribosomal RNA". It matches the Rfam family "Bacterial small subunit ribosomal RNA", at positions 524 to 776 of the family's 1533-position model. The record is from RNAcentral.
UACGGAGGGGGCUAGCGUUAUUCGGAAUUACUGGGCGUAAAGCGCACGUAGGCGGAUUAGAAAGUCAGAGGUGAAAUCCCAGGGCUCAACCUUGGAACUGCCUUUGAAACUCCUAGUCUUGAGGUCGAGAGAGGUGAGUGGAAUUCCGAGUGUAGAGGUGAAAUUCGUAGAUAUUCGGAGGAACACCAGUGGCGAAGGCGGCUCACUGGCUCGAUACUGACGCUGAGGUGCGAAAGCGUGGGGAGCAAACAGG